AUGGUGGUUGGUGGAAAGCUUUUGUGGUUUUGGAUGGACUCGCGGCCUAUCAGCUUGUUGGUGAGGUAAUGGCUCACCAAGGCGACGACGGGUAGCCGGCCUGAGAGGGUGACCGGCCACACUGGGACUGAGACACGGCCCAGACUCCUACGGGAGGCAGCAGUGGGGAAUAUUGCACAAUGGGCGCAAGCCUGAUGCAGCGACGCCGCGUGAGGGAUGACGGCCUUUCGGGUUGUAAACCUCUUUCAGUAGGGAAGAAGCGAAAGUGACGGUACCUGCAGAAGAAGCGCCGGCUAACUACGUGCCAGCAGCCGCGGUAAUACGUAGGGCGCAAGCGUUAUCCGGAAUUAUUGGGCGUAAAGAGCUCGUAGGCGGUUUGUCGCGUCUGCCGUGAAAGUCCGGGGCUCAACUCCGGAUCUGCGGUGGGUACGGGCAGACUAGAGUGAUGUAGGGGAGACUGGAAUUCCUGGUGUAGCGGUGAAAUGCGCAGAUAUCAGGAGGAACACCGAUGGCGAAGGCAGGUCUCUGGGCAUUAACUGACGCUGAGGAGCGAAAGCAUGGGGAGCGAACAGGAUUAGAUACCCUGGUAGUCCAUGCCGUACACGUUGGGCACUAGGUGUGGGGGACAUUCCACGUUUUCCGCGCCGUAGCUAACGCAUUAAGUGCCCCGCCUGGGGAGUACGGCCGCAAGGCUAAAACUCAAAGGAAUUGACGGGGGCCCGCACAAGCGGCGGAGCAUGCGGAUUAAUUCGAUGCAACGCGAAGAACCUUACCAAGGCUUGACAUGAACCGGAAAGACCUGGAAACAGGUGCCCCGCUUGCGGUCGGUUUACAGGUGGUGCAUGGUUGUCGUCAGCUCGUGUCGUGAGAUGUUGGGUUAAGUCCCGCAACGAGCGCAACCCUCGUUCUAUGUUGCCAGCACGUGAUGGUGGGGACUCAUAGGAGACUGCCGGGGUCAACUCGGAGGAAGGUGGGGACGACGUCAAAUCAUCAUGCCCCUUAUGUCUUGGGCUUCACGCAUGCUACAAUGGCCGGUACAAAGGGUUGCGAUACUGUGAGGUGGAGCUAAUCCCAAAAAGCCGGUCUCAGUUCGGAUUGGGGUCUGCAA
This 1108-nucleotide ribosomal RNA is filed under the name Arthrobacter sp. XSW053. RNAcentral's name for it is "bacterial SSU rRNA". It matches the Rfam family "Bacterial small subunit ribosomal RNA", at positions 189 to 1310 of the family's 1533-position model. Lineage: Bacteria; Bacillati; Actinomycetota; Actinomycetes; Micrococcales; Micrococcaceae. The record is from RNAcentral.